This is a long non-coding RNA of Lolium rigidum, 713 nucleotides long. RefSeq lists it as uncharacterized. The record is from RefSeq and is a predicted model, not a curated record. Lineage: Eukaryota; Viridiplantae; Streptophyta; Magnoliopsida; Poales; Poaceae. The transcript has 2 exons.
AGAGCAACCAACUGAAACUAUGCCUGUGAUAGGCACACCGCACACCAAUAUGAUCCUUCACUCUGCAGGACUGGAAAAUAAAAAAUUUAGGAGCAUAUGGGAAGUGAUUACCUCCUCGACAACUGAGACUGUAUCCGUCAACAUCGCUCUCGACCCACAAAGCCGUGGCGAUGGCUGUGCCAAGCUCAACAUGCCCAUCGAGCUAUUGCACCACCUUUCACAGGGAUGGAAGACUAAGACUAUCACCGAAGCCGCAGGUGCCCUACUGAAGGUCCCCACUCAAGCAAGGAGCAGUGCCAUCCGCGGACCCAUCCUCGCCACAUAAUGCCUCCAAAGAAGACCAUAAGCAUUCCUUCAUCUGACGAAGAGGACAACAAUGCAUCUUAUCGACUAUCUCAGCAAAGUACGGCUAAUUUUGGUAAUCAGCUGCACUGUCGUUCUGAACCACCAAGCUCUCCAUCCACUACGGAGCACCAUAACCACAGAAUCGCCACUCCCACCUGAUAGCCCAUAUAUAUCAGGAUAUGCUCUGCUUUUGUCAUAUGAAUUUUGCUACUCUAUAGAUAAUCGGUAGAUGGCACCAAGUAUCUAUCGAUGAGUAGGAAUCAUGUAGUAUGUAAAUGCAGCAAAACCAAAGAAUGUACUAUGUAAUGCAUAUCUAUAUCUUACGAUGCUUUCUGUUUGUAUCCAUAUCAAUAAGCACUUUUCUGCAA